CCUUGAGCCCAAAGCCCAAAGCAAAAAUUAAAUUAUGCAAAUGGCUAAUCUGAACAAGAAGCAAUCACAUAAGCCCAAAAUGUAAACUAACCAUGAACUUUCUUUUAAGCCAAACACCAAACCGGAAUUAAAACCACAUUAAUCACAUUAACGAAAAUCCAAUUCAAACUAACUAACAGAAAAUUCCAUAAUCUUAAAAUAAAAUUAAGAGAAAAAUAACAACGAAUGGAAACUUGCAAAAAAAAACUGAAAGAUUUACAGAAUGGCCUCUAAAAUAGCUUAAAGGGAACAACCGGGUUCAGAACAUUUCAAUAAACUCACACAGAAGACAGGCCUUUCCAAUAAUUACAGAAGAAGAAGGGAAGGAAGAGCAAAGACGAAAGAAAUGGACAAAGAAAGAAAGAGAACUCACUUAGCAACUCAAACUCGCGACUGACUUUCGAUUUAAACCGCAAAAUAAUAUUAAUCGUCUGUUCUUUUUCAAGAACAAGAGAAUAAUAUUGUUUUGUGAUAACAUCGGCCUCGGAUGCUCAUAAAUACUGGAGAGAUAGUCUGCAAGAGUGAUCUUGGCUUUGAUUUCUAAAGAUCAAACCCUAGAUUUUAUUGGGGCAGUCUCAUUGGGACUCUUGGGAAAUAAACCCGAGGAUAGGAUUUAAGGUUACCCAAGGGUUGUAUGGUACGAUUUUGGCGCAGUUUGGAGCUGGAACACCGGUGGCAAUGGUGGGCUAGGGUUCAAGGUGAGGGAGAUGAAGUAUAGAGGGGCAUUGGGUGAACUGAAUAGUCUCUAAAACUUCAGACACUAUUAUGCGAUUGAAGAGAUAGUUCCAAGGCCGUCCGAUCAUCAAAGGUCAAUGGCC
RNAcentral lists this long non-coding RNA (857 nucleotides) under Nicotiana benthamiana. Its description in RNAcentral is "long non-coding RNA (NBEN_LNC013821)". The record is from RNAcentral. Lineage: Eukaryota; Viridiplantae; Streptophyta; Magnoliopsida; Solanales; Solanaceae.